GUCCGAAGAUGGUCGUGCAUUUGUCGUGCAUUUGCCGUUCACUUCACUGAUGCUACAGUUUCUAGCCAGGGUGUUGAUUUGAUUCAUCAAGGAUGAAAUAAGAAAGGUCAAAGUGUCAAAAGGGGAGUUCAAAAUUCAUGCAAUCUACAGAUCCCGUCCAGGUUUUGUACUCCCUAAGUUAUAUUUAUUUAUUUCAAUUUAGUUGGUCGAUUUAGUCUCACCAUUUCAUGUUCAUCUCAUUGAUUGGACAAUAUCUAUUCAUUGAUUUCAUAACUUACAGUCUCACAUACUUGCAUUUGUUAUAGUCAAGUGAUGUUCUACCAAUUGUAUGGAUAUCAACUGUUUCCUAUUCUCUUUGUUUUAGUGUUGGUUUGAGUUUGCUA
Long non-coding RNA from Helianthus annuus (common sunflower), 383 nucleotides. RefSeq lists it as uncharacterized. Lineage: Eukaryota; Viridiplantae; Streptophyta; Magnoliopsida; Asterales; Asteraceae. The transcript is spliced from 2 exons. The record is from RefSeq and is a predicted model, not a curated record.